AUCUCGGUAGCUUAACACUAAAGCGUUAGACUUGUAAACUAAAAAUGGGACCCCCCCCGAGAUC
This 64-nucleotide transfer RNA is filed under the name Diploderma vela. Its description in RNAcentral is "tRNA-Thr". It matches the Rfam family "tRNA". From Rfam's summary of the family: Transfer RNA (tRNA) molecules are approximately 80 nucleotides in length. Their secondary structure includes four short double-helical elements and three loops (D, anti-codon, and T loops). Lineage: Eukaryota; Metazoa; Chordata; Lepidosauria; Squamata; Agamidae. The record is from RNAcentral.